GGUACAUGUAAGACAGAGGGAAGCUGCUCCUCACAGGUGCUAGAAAAUGGCGGCAGUUGCAGCGUGCUGGGAAGGAGAUAGUUGUGAGGACCCUAACGGCUGUGUGAGGGAUGGAGUUGACUUUUAGUGUUUUGGUAUCUUUUUGCUACUAAUGAACUUUAUCUUUACAGAGUACUACGUACAGAUGAAACUCCCUUGUGAAACUUCAUUUGAGCACAAGGACAAACAUAGCAUGAGGAACCCAGCGAAUGUUCCAGGGUUGGAUGCUGCCAGGGUGAGAUGUAACUGCGUGGCACAAAGGAAUAUGCAGAGAGGUCCAAACUGGAAGUAGCUGUCUUGCACGGCUAGCAGGAAGGCUGGAUUAGUGCACAACUGACAAAGAGACGCCAUGCACCUUGACAAGAGACUGGGAAGUUGUUAGGAAUAACAAGGAAGAUGUCUGAAGGAGCAUGGAUAAGACUUCAAAGGUAUCUGGGAAAGCACAGAAGAUGGAUGAGAGAUUUCCCAUGGGGAGCCUUGCUGGACAGUGCACCUGGGCACAGGAAGCAAAGACCAUACCAGUUGCUGAUGCCUUCGGCAGAGCAGUCACUCGUGGAACUAGUGU
Oxyura jamaicensis (ruddy duck) is the source of this 604-nucleotide long non-coding RNA. RefSeq lists it as uncharacterized. The record is from RefSeq and is a predicted model, not a curated record. The transcript is spliced from 6 exons. Lineage: Eukaryota; Metazoa; Chordata; Aves; Anseriformes; Anatidae.